RNAcentral lists this transfer RNA (65 nucleotides) under Nannocystis punicea. RNAcentral's name for it is "Nannocystis sp. fl3 tRNA-Cys". It matches the Rfam family "tRNA". Rfam says of the family: Transfer RNA (tRNA) molecules are approximately 80 nucleotides in length. The record is from RNAcentral. Lineage: Bacteria; Pseudomonadati; Myxococcota; Nannocystales; Nannocystaceae.
GGCGCCGAGUGGCCAGGUGCCCGUCUGCAAAACGGGCCAGUCGGGUUCGAAUCCCGACGGGACCU